RNAcentral lists this ribosomal RNA (708 nucleotides) under uncultured Bacteroidales bacterium. RNAcentral's name for it is "bacterial SSU rRNA". It matches the Rfam family "Bacterial small subunit ribosomal RNA", at positions 28 to 723 of the family's 1533-position model. The record is from RNAcentral. Lineage: Bacteria; Pseudomonadati; Bacteroidota; Bacteroidia; Bacteroidales.
GAUGAACGCUAGCUACAGGCUUAACACAUGCAAGUCGAGGGGCAGCAUGGUCUUAGCUUGCUAAGGCUGAUGGCGACCGGCGCACGGGUGAGUAACACGUAUCCAACCUGCCGUCUACUCUUGGCCAGCCUUCUGAAAGGAAGAUUAAUCCAGGAUGGGAUCAUGAGUUCACAUGUCCGCAUGAUUAAAGGUAUUUUCCGGUAGACGAUGGGGAUGCGUUCCAUUAGAUAGUAGGCGGGGUAACGGCCCACCUAGUCAACGAUGGAUAGGGGUUCUGAGAGGAAGGUCCCCCACAUUGGAACUGAGACACGGUCCAAACUCCUACGGGAGGCAGCAGUGAGGAAUAUUGGUCAAUGGGCGAUGGCCUGAACCAGCCAAGUAGCGUGAAGGAUGACUGCCCUAUGGGUUGUAAACUUCUUUUAUAAAGGAAUAAAGUCGGGUAUGCAUACCCGUUUGCAUGUACUUUAUGAAUAAGGAUCGGCUAACUCCGUGCCAGCAGCCGCGGUAAUACGGAGGAUCCGAGCGUUAUCCGGAUUUAUUGGGUUUAAAGGGAGCGUAGAUGGAUGUUUAAGUCAGUUGUGAAAGUUUGCGGCUCAACCGUAAAAUUGCAGUUGAUACUGGAUGUCUUGAGUGCAGUUGAGGCAGGCGGAAUUCGUGGUGUAGCGGUGAAAUGCUUAGAUAUCACGAAGAACUCCGAUUGCGAAGGCA